This 1366-nucleotide long non-coding RNA is filed under the name Phasianus colchicus (ring-necked pheasant). RNAcentral's name for it is "lncRNA (ENSPCLG00000005517.1)". Lineage: Eukaryota; Metazoa; Chordata; Aves; Galliformes; Phasianidae. The record is from RNAcentral.
AUGGUGAAGAAAAUGGUGAUUUUUGUCCACUAUCUGCCUGUAGCAGUACUGUCACAACAGAGCGUUGCUGGAAGCUUGAUGAAGGCUCCAGGUGUCCCAAGAAGAGUAAUGCCCAGGCCAGGCCCUCCUCCAGCAACCACUUCUGCACAGAUUGGAAGUGAAAGUGCCACCUUGUCACUUCACCACAGAGCCAGGCAGGGCCACCAGAGUGCAGGCAGGGCAGGAGGGCAGAGCAGAGCAGGAAGAAAAGCUCACCCUGAGCAGCGUAGCAGCAGCAGCAAAAGUGGCACCAUGCAGAAGGGAGCAAAGCACAAACAGAGACAGCUUGAGAACUCCAUUCUGAGAUUGCUGUACAAAUUCUCAUAAGCAUGUUAAUUUACAUGAGGAAAAAAAUGGGACCGAAGUGGAAGACAACAGAAAGAUGGAAAUUAACAUACCUGAAGAUGUGAUCUCAUGCAAAUAGGGAUGUGAGUGCAUGUGAUACUCAGAAGCCUCGGACCACGUAAUGGCUUCCCAGUGUCUUCCAUCUCAGUCUGUGGUCCUUCAUGUUUAUACCUUUAGCAAAGGGAUGACUGUUCCUUCUUUUUGUACAGACUUUCAUAGAGUCUUGUUCUGUAACUUUGGUGAUGAUCAAUAUCCUGCUGAAUAAGAACUUGAUUGGAAUGAGAUCUAGGUAUUUCUUCACAGAUUUUUUGUUACAGCAUGAUAGUCCUGUAACUUCCUAUUUGUCUGUGCAUGUAUGCGCACACAUUCAUAAGAAAAGAUGGGAGGUUAGAGUAAAAUACUACUGUAUAAUGCUCCAUACCAGAAACGAGGUGUCUAUUCAAUUUUAGUACACUUUUCUCGGUAUUUUCUUCAUACCACAUCAUUUUCUGACAAACUCUAGACUAGGUUUUAGACUCUAGAGCACGGCUUGAAUUGUCUGAAGCCUCCCUAAUGUCAGCCUGGAAGCAAUGGCUGCACUGGUGUUUCUGAGAUGAGUAAGGUACACCUUACUCAAUACAUUAAUAAGCUCUAGUUCUCUAGUCAUAAAAAAUAGUAAAGUCUGUUUCUUUCCAUCUUUUUAUUAAUUUCUUUCAUGUUUUUUUUUCUGAACAUACUUUAAUUUGAAAAUAUAACACACAUCUUUCUUAGAAGACCUAACUCAUGAACAGCAGGUUGUAAGUUCAUGUGUAGACAUAGGGAACAGCCAUUUCUCAUGGACACUUCCCUGUGCAUAUUCUAUACAACAUGUUUCUUCUAACGGACGCUCUUGUCUUUUCAUAUAAGUGGUAAAUAUUUUCUCUACUGCAUUUGGCUCCUGAUCACUAACGGAUUGAGUGUUUUAUAGAUUCUUCCAUUGAGUGUGUAAUAGCUUGUGUUGCAC